AUGAAAGAAGAACAUGGCGCUCUCCUUCUCAACAACACGUGGUCUCUCGUCCCUCGCCCCUCUGGUGUCAAUAUCGUCUCCGGCAAAUGGGUGUUUCGUCAUAAGUUCCAUUCUGACGGCUCUCUUUCUCGCUACAAAGCUCGUUGGGUCUGUCGUGGUGACUCUCAGCAACCUGGCAUCGACUUUGACGAAAUGUUUUCUCCGGUCGUUAAACCGAGCACCAUCCGCGUUGUUCUUAGCUUAGCCGUCUCCUCUUCGUGGCCCAUUCAUCAGCUUGAUGUUAAAAAUGCCUUUCUCAAUGGCUCUCUGACCGAAACUGUAUAUUGUAGACAGCCUCUCGGUUUCUCUCACCCCACACUCCCCGACCACGUUUGUCACCUCCAGAAGUCUCUGUACGGGCUCAAACAGGCCCCGCGUGCGUGGUUUCAAUGA
Molecule: ribosomal RNA, 432 nt
Filed under: Triticum aestivum (bread wheat)
Lineage: Eukaryota; Viridiplantae; Streptophyta; Magnoliopsida; Poales; Poaceae
Description: partial small subunit ribosomal RNA
Source: RNAcentral